This is a long non-coding RNA of Belonocnema kinseyi, 382 nucleotides long. RefSeq lists it as uncharacterized. The transcript is spliced from 3 exons. The record is from RefSeq and is a predicted model, not a curated record. NCBI's taxonomy places the organism in Eukaryota, Metazoa, Arthropoda, Insecta, Hymenoptera, Cynipidae.
UCGAAUAGCACCGAACGGCUCCGAUCAUCAACGAAGUACAGCCUUAGCGCCACGCAAAGUUGCUCUCCUCAAUUCAAGUCACUCGGUCCUCGACCGUCGGUCGAGCCGUAAUGUAAGGGGGAAGAAUGCAGACUGGGACACUGACACUGGGCAAUUAUCAGACUGGGCCUGGAAAAUUAUUGGAAGACGUAAAUCUUACCUGAAACAAAAAAUACAAAGAAAGACUGAAAAUUAAAUUUUUUAUCACAAUUCGCAACCGAGUCUACCCCAAUUUGUGGCCAGUGCAACUGAGAGAUCGUCAACUUCCACAUCCGUUUUCUCGCACCUGGAUAACUUUCUUUCUCCAAAUUUGGUUGUUUUUGAUUUAGCAAGACUUCGUUUC